RNAcentral lists this ribosomal RNA (394 nucleotides) under Escherichia coli. RNAcentral's name for it is "partial 23S ribosomal RNA". It matches the Rfam family "Bacterial large subunit ribosomal RNA", at positions 1241 to 1636 of the family's 2925-position model. The record is from RNAcentral. Lineage: Bacteria; Pseudomonadati; Pseudomonadota; Gammaproteobacteria; Enterobacterales; Enterobacteriaceae.
CUGUAAGCCUGUGAAGGUGUACUGUGAGGUAUGCUGGAGGUAUCAGAAGUGCGAAUGCUGACAUAAGUAACGAUAAAGCGGGUGAAAAGCCCGCUCGCCGGAAGACCAAGGGUUCCUGUCCAACGUUAAUCGGGGCAGGGUGAGUCGACCCCUAAGGCGAGGCCGAAAGGCGUAGUCGAUGGGAAACAGGUUAAUAUUCCUGUACUUGGUGUUACUGCGAAGGGGGGACGGAGAAGGCUAUGUUGGCCGGGCGACGGUUGUCCCGGUUUAAGCGUGUAGGCUGGUUUUCCAGGCAAAUCCGGAAAAUCAAGGCUGAGGCGUGAUGACGAGGCACUACGGUGCUGAAGCAACAAAUGCCCUGCUUCCAGGAAAAGCCUCUAAGCAUCAGGUAACA